UUUGUAUAAUGGGUCAGCGACUUAUAUUCAGUGGCAAGGUUAACCAUCUAGGGGAGCCGUAGGGAAACCGAGUCUUAACUGGGCGUUCAGUCUCUGGAUAUAGACCCGAAACCAGGUGAUCUAGCCAUGGGCAGGUUGAAGGUUGAGUAACAUCAACUGGAGGACCGAACCGACUAAUGUUGAAAAAUUAGCGGAUGACUUGUGGCUAGGGGUGAAAGGCCAAUCAAACCUGGAGAUAGCUGGUUCUCCCCGAAAGCUAUUUAGGUAGCGCCUCGGACGAAUACUACUGGGGGUAGAGCACUGUUAAGGCUAGGGGGUCAUCCCGACUUACCAACCCUUUGCAAACUCCGAAUACCAGUAAGUACUAUCCGGGAGACACACGGCGGGUGCUAACGUCCGUCGUGGAGAGGGAAACAACCCAGACCGCCAGCUAAGGUCCCAAAUUACUACUAAGUGGGAAACGAUGUGGGAAGGCUCAGACAGCCAGGAUGUUGGCUUAGAAGCAGCCAUCAUUUAAAGAAAGCGUAAUAGCUCACUGGUCGAGUCGGCCUGCGCGGAAGAUGUAACGGGGCUAAGUAGUAAACCGAAGCUGCGGCAAUACUCUUUGAGUAUUGGGUAGGGGAGCGUUCUGUAAGCGGUUGAAGGUGUGUGGUAACGCAUGCUGGACGUAUCAGAAGUGCGAAUGCUGACAUGAGUAACGAUAAAGGGGGUGAAAAACCUCCUCGCCGGAAGACCAAGGGUUCCUGUCCAACGUUAAUCGGGGCAGGGUAAGUCGACCCCUAAGGCGAGGCCGAAAGGCGUAGUCGAUGGGAAACGGGUUAAUAUUCCCGUACUUCUUACAAUUGCGAUGGGGGGACGGAGAAGGCUAGGUGGGCCUGGCGACGGUUGUCCAGGUUCAAGUGCGUAGGCUUAAGAGUUAGGUAAAUCCGGCUCUUUCUAAGGCUGAGACACGACGUCGAGCACCUACGGGUGUGAAGUCAUUGAUGCCAUGCUUCCAGGAAAAGCCUCUAAGCUUCAGAUUGUAAGGAAUCGUACCCCAAACCGACACAGGUGGUCGGGUAGAGAAUACCAAGGCGCUUGAGAGAACUCGGGUGAAGGAACUAGGCAAAAUGGUACCGUAACUUCGGGAGAAGGUACGCUCUUGAUGGUGAAGUCCCUUGCGGAUGGAGCUGACGAGAGUCGCAGAUACCAGGUGGCUGCAACUGUUUAUUAAAAACACAGCACUGUGCAAAAUCGUAAGAUGACGUAUACGGUGUGACGCCUGCCCGGUGCCGGAAGGUUAAUUGAUGGGGUUAGACUUCGGUCGAAGCUCUUGAUCGAAGCCCCGGUAAACGGCGGCCGUAACUAUAACGGUCCUAAGGUAGCGAAAUUCCUUGUCGGGUAAGUUCCGACCUGCACGAAUGGCGUAAUGAUGGCCACGCUGUCUCCACCCGAGACUCAGUGAAAUUGAAAUCGCUGUGAAGAUGCAGUGUACCCGCGGCUAGACGGAAAGACCCCGUGAACCUUUACUACAGCUUGGCACUGAACAUUGACCCUACAUGUGUAGGAUAGGUGGGAGGCUUUGAAGCACGUACGCCAGUAUGUGUGGAGCCGUCCUUGAAAUACCACCCUUGUAGUGUUGAUGUUCUAACGUCGACCCCUAAUCGGGGUUGCGGACAGUGCCUGGUGGGUAGUUUGACUGGGGCGGUCUCCUCCCAAAGAGUAACGGAGGAGCACGAAGGUGGGCUAAUCACGGUUGGACAUCGUGAGGUUAGUGCAAUGGCAUAAGCCCGCUUGACUGCGAGAAUGACAAUUCGAGCAGGUGCGAAAGCAGGUCAUAGUGAUCCGGUGGUUCUGAAUGGAAGGGCCAUCGCUCAACGGAUAAAAGGUACUCCGGGGAUAACAGGCUGAUACCGCCCAAGAGUUCAUAUCGACGGCGGUGUUUGGCACCUCGAUGUCGGCUCAUCACAUCCUGGGGCUGAAGUCGGUCCCAAGGGUAUGGCUGUUCGCCAUUUAAAGUGGUACGCGAGCUGGGUUUAGAACGUCGUGAGACAGUUCGGUCCCUAUCUGCCGUGGGCGUUGGAAGAUUGAAGGGGGCUGCUCCUAGUACGAGAGGACCGGAGUGGACGAACCUCUGGUGUUCGGGUUGUGUCGCCAGACGCAUUGCCCGGUAGCUAAGUUCGGAAUCGAUAACCGCUGAAAGCAUCUAAGCGGGAAGCGAGCCCUGAGAUGAGUCUUCCCUGAUACUUUAAGUAUCCUAAAGGGUUGUCGGAGACUACGACGUUGAUAGGUCAGGUGUGUAAGUGCUGUGAGGCAUUGAGCUAACUGAUACUAAUUGCCCGUGAGGCUUAACCAUACAACACCCAAGGGGUUU
This 2353-nucleotide ribosomal RNA is filed under the name Vibrio parahaemolyticus. RNAcentral's name for it is "partial 23S ribosomal RNA". It matches the Rfam family "Bacterial large subunit ribosomal RNA", at positions 607 to 2925 of the family's 2925-position model. The record is from RNAcentral. Lineage: Bacteria; Pseudomonadati; Pseudomonadota; Gammaproteobacteria; Vibrionales; Vibrionaceae.